GAGUUUGAUCAUGGCUCCAGGACGAACGCUGGCGGCGUCGCUUAACGACAUGCAAGUCGAGCGGAAAGGCCCUUCGGGUACUCGAGCGGCGAACGGGUGAGUAGCACGUGAGCAACCUGCCCUAGGCUUUGGGAUAACCCUCGGAAACGGGGGCUAAUACCGAAUAUUACUUGGUCUCGCAUGAGGUUGGUGGAAAGUUUUUCGGCCUAGGAUGGGGCUCGCGGCCUAUCAGCUUGUUGGUGGGGUAAUCGGCCUACCAAGGCGACGACGGGUAGCCGGCCUGAGAGGGCGACCGGCCACACUGGGACUGAGACACGGCCCAGACUCCUACGGGAGGCAGCAGUGGGGAAUAUUGCACGAAUGGGCGGAAGCCUGAUGCAGCGACGCCGCGUGAGGGAUGACGGCCUCGGUUGU
This 414-nucleotide ribosomal RNA is filed under the name uncultured bacterium. RNAcentral describes it as "bacterial SSU rRNA". It matches the Rfam family "Bacterial small subunit ribosomal RNA", at positions 9 to 426 of the family's 1533-position model. The record is from RNAcentral.